This 598-nucleotide ribosomal RNA is filed under the name Cryptodiaporthe populea. Its description in RNAcentral is "eukaryotic LSU rRNA". The stretch from base 217 to 370 matches the Rfam family "5.8S ribosomal RNA". The record is from RNAcentral. Lineage: Eukaryota; Fungi; Ascomycota; Sordariomycetes; Diaporthales; Gnomoniaceae.
UCCGUAGGUGAACCUGCGGAGGGAUCAUUGAUGGAAUAAACGCCCUCACGGGCGCUACCCAUAAACCCUUUGUGAACACUACCUAAAAAUGUUGCCUCGGCAUUGGUUGGCCUCUUUGAGGUCCCUUCUCGCUAGGGAAGGAGCAGACCGGCCGGUGGCCCUAUAAACUCUUGUUUCUGUAACAUCAUCUGAGUAAAAACAACUAAAAUGAAUCAAAACUUUCAACAACGGAUCUCUUGGUUCUGGCAUCGAUGAAGAACGCAGCGAAAUGCGAUAAGUAAUGUGAAUUGCAGAAUUCAGUGAAUCAUCGAAUCUUUGAACGCACAUUGCGCCCGGUGGUAUUCCACCGGGCAUGCCUGUUCGAGCGUCAUUUCAACCCUCAAAGCCUUUGGCUUUGGUGUUGGAGGAAUACCCUGUAACAAGGGUACCCUCUCAAAUUUAGUGGCGGGCUCGCUAGAAUUUUGAGCGUAGUAAUUUUACCUCGUUUUUAAAGACUAGUGGGACUUCUUGCCGUAAAACCCCCCUUAACUUUCUGAAAAUUGACCUCGGAUCAGGUAGGAAUACCCGCUGAACUUAAGCAUAUCAAUAAGCGGAGGAA